GAGGGACUUGACCCUGAACUGCAUACCUGAUGUCAGGCUUUAACCCCCUGAUGAAUUGGGAAACAAAAUAUGUGUCAGGCAUGCCCCCACUAUGCAUGUCUACUUGAAAUUGAAGUGUUUUAAAAGCAGCUGCAUAAUCUUCUACUGAGCCAACUUGUUUGAGAUCCAACAAUGCAUCUAUGGCAUAUUGAUAGUCAUAUGCUCCAAACUUUUGCUCUACAGCCUUGAUAAAUUGAUCCCAAGUGUCCACCCUAUUUUUCCUGUUGUAAACUCUAAACCACCGUGAGGCAUUUUCAUCCAUAUGCAUGACUGCCGUCAUAAUCUUCAUAUGUUCAGGUAUGUCAAAGAUCUGAAAAUAAGUUUCACACUUAUCACGCCAAAUUGUUGGGUCUUGACCUUCAAACUUGGGAAACUACAUUUUGGGCAGGGAGUUCCUGUGAGCAGCAACAUUGUGCCCAAAAGGAUGCCCACUAGUAGCAGCACGAUGAUAAUGUGGUUCCCCAAAUGCUGAAUGGUCUUGUUGAUAAUGAUUCUGACGAUGAGCAGUAUUGGUAGAUGGUGGUGGACUGUACUCAUUAUCCUGAUCGUCCUUCCUUAGCUGAUCCACGGUGAGCUUUGCUACUGCUUGACCAGUAGCCUCCAAUUGCUGGGCUAGGACUUGUUGUUCUCUCAUGGAUAGAUCGACGGCCUUACUAUUGACAUCCAACUUGACCUGCAUUUGCUGUUGAGUAAUGUGGAGGUCCUCGAUCUUGGAGAACAGUAGGUCCACAGAUUGCAUCAACCUAUCCAGUUUUGCGUCAGCCUUCGUAGCUCCCUCCGCCAUGGCGUCCAGGAGCAAUUGAGACUGCACUGAAGGUUUGGGUGGAGCUAUGGUGAAUUGCCCGUAAAUCGAUCCGUGGUGGAAUGGGAUUUACAGGAAGUCAAUCGUCGUCGCUGGUGCCGCGCAGCAAACGAUGAGACCUCAGCAAACCCACCCCAUUUACGGCUCAGAUCGACGGAGUUCUGCAAUUCGACCCAGUAGCAACCGAUCCUAGGUAUUGGGCACCAAAAUCGUCGGUAGGCAGAAGGAAUCGGAAAGGGGAACACCUGAAUCAGAGAGCCGAAGCACCCUCGCCGUGCGCCGCCUGCUCCGCCGAUGUGGUGCGCCGCCGCCGCCCCCGACACCCACGCCGAGGAAGAUGAGUCUCUGAUACCAGCUGUAAUGCCCCGUGGCCGUCGAUAGCUCGCCGGCGGCGUGAGAUCAACACAGGCAGAGAUCAGAGAAUGGCUGGGGAAGGGAAGGACCCUGAACCCCGAUAGAAUCUUUCUUUCUCAUUCAGAAAACGAUAACGAUACACUCUGUUUUUCCAUCUGACCUUUUAACAGUUUACACGCCGGCUGACAAUCUGGCCCCACCUGUCAAGCACACACGCAC
This 1414-nucleotide long non-coding RNA is filed under the name Setaria viridis. RNAcentral describes it as "long non-coding RNA (SVIR_LNC002078)". Lineage: Eukaryota; Viridiplantae; Streptophyta; Magnoliopsida; Poales; Poaceae. The record is from RNAcentral.